GGGCACGUGGUCUAGGGGUAUGAUUUUCGCUUCGCAUCUCGUUCCAAGAACGCAAAAUGAUGCCUGUGAAAGGUCGCGGGUUCAAUUCCCGUCGUGUCCA
Neophaeococcomyces mojaviensis is the source of this 100-nucleotide non-coding RNA. Lineage: Eukaryota; Fungi; Ascomycota; Eurotiomycetes; Chaetothyriales. The record is from the annotation of a GenBank genome assembly.